AGGACGAACGCUGGCGGCGUGCUUAACACAUGCAAGUCGAGCGGUAAGGCCCUUUCGGGGGUACACGAGCGGCGAACGGGUGAGUAACACGUGGGUGACCUGCCCUUAGCUCUGGGAUAAGCCUGGGAAACUGGGUCUAAUACCGGAUAUGACCUCGCGAUGCAUGUCGUGGGGUGGAAAGCCUUGUGCGGCUAGGGAUGGGGCCCGCGGCCUAUCAGCUUGUUGGUGGGGUGAUGGCCUACCAAGGCGACGACGGGUA
RNAcentral lists this ribosomal RNA (259 nucleotides) under uncultured bacterium. RNAcentral's name for it is "partial small subunit ribosomal RNA". It matches the Rfam family "Bacterial small subunit ribosomal RNA", at positions 26 to 285 of the family's 1533-position model. The record is from RNAcentral.